Long non-coding RNA from Dermochelys coriacea (leatherback sea turtle), 2157 nucleotides. RefSeq lists it as uncharacterized. The transcript is spliced from 2 exons. The record is from RefSeq and is a predicted model, not a curated record. NCBI's taxonomy places the organism in Eukaryota, Metazoa, Chordata, Testudines, Dermochelyidae.
GCACUCUCAUGCAGGGCAGCACGGAAGCAUGUCUGGCUCCGGCACAGCUCCCAGACAUUCUGCUCUGAGUGGCAUGGUGGCUCUUUGAAAAAAUUCCUAGAAAGAGUAGUGGUGAAAGCAGAAGAGUUGGGUCUAAAGACAUCACAUGAAAAGCCAAAGCCAAUGCCUAAGUCUGUUGUAAAGGCAAAGAUAUCGCUACCCAAAUCGCAGGCAGCAUUGGUAUGCAUUGUACACUUCAAAUACGCGACUAGUAUCACUGCAAGGGACUUUAAACAUCAGUUAGAGAUCCAACAUAGAACUGGACUUGUGACUGCUGCUCACGUGACAUUCAGCCACAUCUGGAAAAACAAAGGUAUUACCAUGUAGUGUAAACUGAAAUUGCUGCAGUCUUUUGUUGUUAACCUCUUGCUGUAUGCAUGGGAGACAUGGAUGUUAAGCAAACAGGACAUUAAGAGGCUUUCUAUCUUUGAAUUGAAAUGCUGCAGGCAAUGCAUGUUAGCUAUAUCUCCCGCAGGACAAACGAAGAGAUAUUCACCUGAAUUUACAGCAUAACUGGAGUGACACCUGACAUCAAGAUGAUCAAACAAAGAAAACUUCAGUUUGUGGGACAUGCGGGUUGAAGGAGCGGAGGAAGAUUGCCAAAGCAAGUGUUGUAGGGGCUGGUGCCAGUGGCAAGGGAUACCCGAAGGGGGCACUCAGUGUGGCUGGAUGUGGGAUGGUGUGUUUCUCACAGCUGUGUGAAGUCUGCUAAACAUGAAGGAAGACUACUGGCCAGUGACUCUCAUGUAUUGUGUGUAUUGCUCAUUACGAUGUGAAUCUAUAGUACUUUGCACUAUGAGAUAAUGUGUGUGGGUAUGUGUUCCUUGAAGUAGGAGUGCUAGAAAUGCAGCAGUGUUCUAUUCCUUUUAAAUAUAUUGCUCCAAAAUAGAGGAAAAUUAUGAGUAAACAAAACAAAAUAAAGUCCACUUUGUAAGAAAGGAGAUGCAGAAGGGCCCUGCACAUGUGGAUGAAGAUUUAUACAGUAGCAUCCCACAGCAUAAGCACCAGCCCCACCUCUCUGUGGCUCCGACGUGGAAUCUGAGCUCCGCAAAACUAGGUACUAGCUAAGUGGGUAGGGGGUUUAGUCACAAGACAGUUUCUAUGAGUUUUUUCUGUUCUUGGGGAAGCUCCAAGCAGAGAUAACACCAUAGCUUGACAAACUAUGCAGGAGGUAUGGUCGGUAGCAGGUGAAAGAAAAACCAGUGGCAGCAUGCCAGGGUAGACUGCUGUUCUAUUUGUGUUGUAGGGGUAGUUUAGAGGAAACAUAUGCUGAGAUCCACAAAAACUGGUUUUAUUUUCUCUCAUGGAUCCUCAGCCUCUGCAAGAAGAGAUGUCUAUGCCCCUGCUGAGCAUCCAUUCUGCCCCCAAACCUUCCUGGAGGGGAUGAUGUGACAAGCAAUGACUCAAAAAAGACCAUGCGGUGAUAUGGAUCAGUGUUUCAUUUCACGCAGGCCAUCUGACCCACCAAGGAAUCUGGCUCGAAAAAGGGAGCAUAUGUCCAUUAAUGUCUGCUCAUGGCCAUGGUGUCCAAUUGCUGGGAGAGUUUUUUAUUAUGGAACAGUGGGAAUGAACAUCUUACACUAGAAACUCAACAAACAGUUUUGAUCUUUGUGGAUACCAGGGCUUUCAUAGCAUUGUAACUGGAGAUUCUAUUAUAUGUGAACUUGAGUGAAGAGCCUACUUCUUUGUGUCUUUCUGCACUUUUUCUGUAUUCCCCUGUGUUUGGAUUCAUAUUUUAUUCCUGUGUUUUCUCUCUUCAUUUAUAUUUGGAUGUUUUCUAAGUUCAUAAAAGGGAAAUUAUUAAGAUAAAUAAAGUUUAAAAAACCCUAAACUGUUGAAGACUAAUUAACUAUAGAUUUAGUGCAUACUGGAAAUUUUCUGGAUGAUUUGCUUGCCAUUUAUUUUAAUUUUAGUAAAAUCUUUUUAAGUGACCACUCAGGCAACAAGAAAUAGCUUGUGGUGGUCUUCUAAUAAAACCUGAGCAGCACGUAUUCCAUUAUAUCUGCAGACGCUUUGGAACUGUCUCUUAAGACAGGAGGUUACCUAAUAAGAGUGGUCUUGUGCACUGGCUUCACAGUCGUUAUCUAGAAUCAAGCAUAAAUAAAGUAUAAACUAAAA